This 768-nucleotide ribosomal RNA is filed under the name uncultured bacterium. RNAcentral's name for it is "bacterial SSU rRNA". It matches the Rfam family "Bacterial small subunit ribosomal RNA", at positions 28 to 776 of the family's 1533-position model. The record is from RNAcentral.
AUUGAACGCUGGCGGCAGGCCUAACACAUGCAAGUCGAGCGGCAGCGACUUAACUGAACCUUCGGGGAACGUUAAGGGCGGCGAGCGGCGGACGGGUGAGUAAUGCCUGGGAAUAUGCCCUGAUGUGGGGGAUAACUAUUGGAAACGAUAGCUAAUACCGCAUAAUCUCUUCGGAGCAAAGAGGGGGACCUUCGGGCCUCUCGCGUCAGGAUUAGCCCAGGUGGGAUUAGCUUGUUGGUGAGGUAAUGGCUCACCAAGGCAACGAUCCCUAGCUGGUCUGAGAGGAUGAUCAGCCACACUGGAACUGAGACACGGUCCAGACUCCUACGGGAGGCAGCAGUGGGGAAUAUUGCACAAUGGGGGAAACCCUGAUGCAGCCAUGCCGCGUGUGUGAAGAAGGCCUUCGGGUUGUAAAGCAUUUUCAGUAGGGAGGAAGGUAGUGUAGUUAACACCUGCAUUAUUUGACGUUACCUACAGAAGAAGCACCGGCUAACUCCGUGCCAGCAGCCGCGGUAAUACGGAGGGUGCGAGCGUUAAUCGGAAUUACUGGGCGUAAAGCGCAUGCAGGCGGCCUGUUAAGUCAGAUGUGAAAGCCCGGGGCUUAACCUCGGAAUUGCAUUUGAAACUGGCAGGCUAGAGUCUUGUAGAGGAGGGUAGAAUUUCAGGUGUAGCGGUGAUAUGCGUAGAGAUCUGAAGGAAUACCAGUGGCGAAAGCGGCCCCCUGGACAAGACUGACGCUCAGAUGCGAAAGCGUGGGGAGCAUACAGG